CAGUAGCCACGGGAAUACGAGGGGAGCUAGCGUUAUUCGGAAUUACUGGGCGUAAAGCGCACGUAGGCGGCUUUGUAAGUUAGAGGUGAAAGCCCAGAGCUCAACUCUGGAAUUGCCUUUAAGACUGCAUCGCUUGAAUCCAGGAGAGGUGAGUGGAAUUCCGAGUGUAGAGGUGAAAUUCGUAGAUAUUCGGAAGAACACCAGUGGCGAAGGCGGCUCACUGGACUGGUAUUGACGCUGAGGUGCGAAAGCGUGGGGAGCAAACAGGAUUAGAUACCCCCGUAGUCCCUGUCUCUUAUAC
This 301-nucleotide ribosomal RNA is filed under the name uncultured bacterium. RNAcentral describes it as "partial 16S ribosomal RNA". It matches the Rfam family "Bacterial small subunit ribosomal RNA", at positions 509 to 807 of the family's 1533-position model. The record is from RNAcentral.